AUUAAGGUGGCAGAGAUGGUAAUUGCAUAAAACUUAAGCCUUUACUACCAGAGGUUCAAAUCCUCUCCUUAAUA
RNAcentral lists this transfer RNA (74 nucleotides) under Perameles bougainville (western barred bandicoot). RNAcentral's name for it is "tRNA-Leu". It matches the Rfam family "tRNA". From Rfam's summary of the family: Transfer RNA (tRNA) molecules are approximately 80 nucleotides in length. Lineage: Eukaryota; Metazoa; Chordata; Mammalia; Peramelemorphia; Peramelidae. The record is from RNAcentral.